Molecule: non-coding RNA, 1071 nt
Organism: Pogona vitticeps (central bearded dragon)
Lineage: Eukaryota; Metazoa; Chordata; Lepidosauria; Squamata; Agamidae
Source: RefSeq, a predicted model, not a curated record
UGGAAGAAAUGCCUCAUGGAGAGUUAAUGGUUGAAGGGAAGUAAAUUCAUGGAUAAUGCACCAAUAUACGUCUCAUUUGCACCAUUUUGUUUCUGUGUCCCUGCCUGUAUACUCUACCUGCCUGGGAAAAUAUGAAAUUGACAGCUUUGAGACAGUGAUCUCCUCCUUUCUGUAUAGAGAGCAGAGGCAGAGGAGUGGCUGAACAUUCCUCACAGGACUGCCCCUUAGCAAGAAACCACAAUGAUCUGAUGCCAACAACCAAUGUUUGACUUAUGCCGGCCUUGACUUAAAGUUUGGAGGAGGAGGAGAGAGUGAAAACUGUUCACAGUAUCCGGGCAUAACUGCUAUCUUGGGUGCACUUUGUAGUUCUGGAGCACAUCUUGGACGUAUCUGAUGGAUGCAGACUUAAUCCAUAGCACCUGCCUCUGCUUUGAAGGCCACCUCCAUGUAACCCAACUGUACUGGAGAUUCAGCCACACCUUGGAUUGAUUCUCCAUAAAUUCAUAAGGCUGACAGAAGCAAUCAUUUACAGUCCGUAUUAUCUAUUAUCAGGCAUUCUCUUUGCAGGUCACUACUCAGAAGAAGCAAGCAUGUGUGCAGAUAAGGUGUACUCCAUUUUAUUGUUUUUCCACUGUAAUGUGAAAAAAGGAACUUGCUGAGGUUAAACGUUCAAAAACGAGCUUGUAGAUAUUUUGUCCACAAAAGUUCAGAUGAAGAAACAGGUUAAAGUGGUACAGUAUGUGGAAAGCCCCUUUCUGGUCAGUGAUAAAAUGUAAAGAAGUGCUUCUCCAUAUUGCAAGUACUAAAAUACCAGAGACUGUAUCUACAUGUCAGAAAAAUGUCACAUGAAGGCAGACUAAGAAGCUUCCAGACCUACAUCAAGCACCACAUAACUCUUCCUUUGCUCUGGGUUAAUGCAUGUGAAACAGCAGCUGUUUUACUCUAGUGUAUGUUGGGGCGAUGUCAUGUAAAGCAACAGGAAUGACAGUGGAUUGAGGAAGGAUUUAGAGCAAUGGUUCCCAACCUUAAUUCCCCAGAUGUCCAGAAGCCUUCACCUCUAGCUGUGUUUGC